RNAcentral lists this ribosomal RNA (305 nucleotides) under uncultured bacterium. RNAcentral describes it as "bacterial SSU rRNA". It matches the Rfam family "Bacterial small subunit ribosomal RNA", at positions 333 to 656 of the family's 1533-position model. The record is from RNAcentral.
AUUGCCUACGGGGCGCAGCAGUGGGGGAUAUUGCACAAUGGGGGAAACCCUGAUGCAGCGACGCCGCGUGGGUGAAGAAGCGCCUCGGCGCGUAAAGCCCUGUCAGCAGGGAAGAAAAUGACGGUACCUGAAGAAGAAGCCCCGGCUAACUACGUGCCAGCAGCCGCGGUAAUACGUAGGGGGCGAGCGUUAUCCGGAUUUACUGGGUGUAAAGGGAGCGCAGGCGGCGCGUUAAGCCUGGUGUGAAAGCCCGCGGCCCAACCGCGGGACUGCAUUGGGAACUGGCGCGCUGGAGUGCCGGAGGG